Molecule: non-coding RNA, 72 nt
Organism: Perkinsus marinus ATCC 50983
Lineage: Eukaryota; Perkinsozoa; Perkinsida; Perkinsidae
Source: Rfam
GGCCCUGUGGCGCAACGGUAGCGCAUCUGACUCCAGAUCAGAAAGUUGUCCGUUCGAAUCGGGCCGGGGUCA